Molecule: ribosomal RNA, 253 nt
Filed under: uncultured bacterium
Lineage: Bacteria
Description: partial 16S ribosomal RNA
Rfam family: Bacterial small subunit ribosomal RNA
Source: RNAcentral
UACGUAGGUGGCAAGCGUUGUCCGGAUUUACUGGGCGUAAAGGGCGUGCAGGCGGUCUGUUAAGUCUAGGGUGAAAGCUCCCGGCUCAACUGGGAGAGGUCCUUGGAUACUGGCGGACUUGAGGGAGGUAGAGGAAAGUGGAAUUCCCGGUGUAGUGGUGAUAUGCGUAGAUAUCGGGAGGAACACCUGAGGUGAAGACGGGUUGCUGGGCCAACACUGACGCUGAUGCGCGAAAGCCAGGGGAGCAAACGGG